This 321-nucleotide ribosomal RNA is filed under the name Dileptus sp. 1205-3. RNAcentral describes it as "SSU rRNA". It matches the Rfam family "Eukaryotic small subunit ribosomal RNA", at positions 374 to 700 of the family's 1831-position model. The record is from RNAcentral. Lineage: Eukaryota; Ciliophora; Litostomatea; Haptorida; Dileptidae.
GGUUCGAUUCCGGAGAAGGAGCCUGAGAAACGGCUACUACAUCUAAGGAAGGCAGCAGGCGCGUAAAUUACCCAAUCCUGACUCAGGGAGGUAGUGACAAGAUAUAACAACGUGAAGUCAAAUUCGCGAUUGUAGUGAGGUUAUUCCAAACCGAAAUUCGAGUACGAUUGGAGGACAAGUCUUGGUGCCAGCACCCGCGGUAAUUCCAGCUCCAAUAGCGUAUAUUAAAGUUGUUGCAGUUAAAAAGCUCGUAGUUGGAUUUCUAGAGAGAGGCCUCAAAACCAAUCUCUACUAGUCCCUUCUGGGACAGUUACUGUGAGA